GUAUGUCAGUGAUUCACACCAACAUUGGUUCAUAUUAUUAUUAUUUUUGGUUCUAGGUCAAAGGUUAAAUGUGUCAGUGUGUAUUUUGUAUUCACUUGGUAAAAGGGUGUUAGUGUAAGAAUUCACAGUGGGAUGGUUUUCGUGGAUGGAUCAGAAUGUUAAAAAAUCAUCCAAAAAUGAACAACUUUUGAAUUCAGACUUAAAACAAAUU
This is a long non-coding RNA of Sphaeramia orbicularis (orbiculate cardinalfish), 211 nucleotides long. RefSeq lists it as uncharacterized. The record is from RefSeq and is a predicted model, not a curated record. NCBI's taxonomy places the organism in Eukaryota, Metazoa, Chordata, Actinopteri, Kurtiformes, Apogonidae. The transcript is spliced from 2 exons.